Molecule: long non-coding RNA, 385 nt
Organism: Mastomys coucha (southern multimammate mouse)
Lineage: Eukaryota; Metazoa; Chordata; Mammalia; Rodentia; Muridae
Exons: 2
Source: RefSeq, a predicted model, not a curated record
AGUCAGCAAGGCGAGGUUUGAAGCUUGAUAUUCUCCUGGGAAAAUGACUACUACAUCUCCACUAUAGCAGCUGUCUAAAGCCAGGUUCAGAUCAUCAUGCUGCUGGAGAAGGGUGUCCGAAGACAAGUUCUUUACCUGAAAGGAAAAAGCAAGCCGUGCACCUUCACCAGCAUGCUACCUGAGCACUUCCUGGACGCAACUGCCAUUCUCUUCAGAACACUUACCUAAAGAGUAUGCAUUCAUCUGCCGACCAUUAAUUAUCAGUUCUUCUAUAGGACUCUGCAGAAAUGUAAGAAGUAUCUUCACUAACCAACCAAGCAACAAACCAACCAAGCAACCAAGCAACCAAAAAAAGCCUACUAAAAAUACAUUUCUGAUCUCAAAA